AAACAGUACAAGUCAGGGCUUGUUUUCCUCCCCAAAGAGCUGGUUUCUAAACAUUUACCAGCAUGCCACUGAGCACACCUAACUGAGCUCCAGGCUUUCAAGGAGAAACGACAGUGGGAGAAGGUCUGUGGAGCACCCAUUACUCUUCUACACACCCUCUGAAAUUCAGUCGGAAGUGCACAUUGAUGAUCCCACGUACUGGGAUCAAAUCAAAUUAUCUAAAAGAACUAAAUCCUCCAAUGACUUGAACAGAAAGUCAAGCGCUGCGUGUUUUCUGCAACUUUGAGGAAAGAAGAACUCAAAAGAAAGCUGAGGAAAUCCACUAGAUCAUUGAUUCUCCAAGUGCGGUCCACGGAUCCCUGGGCACUUUCGGGGGGUCCUUCAGGUUUUCCCUUUCCAACUGCACUUCUGUGGGAGGCCCGGCUUUUGUAAAUGUGUCAGCCCAACCAACAGACUACGACACAUUGAAGCAGAUGUGAGAACCCAGCUGUUAAAGAGAUUUGCCAACUAGAAAGCAAGACGUUAAAGAGAUGGCAAAAAUGGAAAAGCACUGCAACUCUUUUCACUAAGUGUUUGGC
This 578-nucleotide long non-coding RNA is filed under the name Equus asinus (donkey). RNAcentral's name for it is "lncRNA (ENSEASG00005035858.1)". Lineage: Eukaryota; Metazoa; Chordata; Mammalia; Perissodactyla; Equidae. The record is from RNAcentral.